AUGGAGAAGAGCAAGGUUCUUGUUGUUGGAGGCACCUGUUACUUCGGCAGGAGGAUAGUGAAGGCCAACCUGGCCCAGGGCCACGAGACCUACGUGCUGUUGAGGCUGGAGAUCGGACUCGACAUCGACAAACUCCAGAUGCUGCUGUCGUUCAAGGCGCAGGGAGCACGGCUCGUCGAGGCGUCGCUCAACGACCACCGGAGCCUCGUCGCCGUCGUGAAGCAGGUGGACGUGGUGGUGUCGGCCAUGUCCGGCCACAACCUCCAACUGCAGCUCAAGCUGGUGGAGGCCAUCAAAGGGGCCGGAAAUGUUAUGCGCUUUCUACCAUCUGAGUUCGGCAUGGACCCAGCAAGGAUGGGGCAUGCUCUUGAACCAGGAAGGGUCACAUUUGAUGAGAAGAUGGAGAUAAGAAAGGCGAUAGAAGAAGCAAACAUUGGCCACACAUAUAUUUCUGCAUACUGCAUUGCUGCUUACUUUGUUCCUAACCUCUGCCAAAUGCGUACUCUUCUUCCACCCAAGGAGAAAGUUAAUGUAUAUGGAGAUGGCAACGUCAAAGCAAUAUUUAUGGAUGAAGAUGACAUUGCAACGUAUACAAUCAAGUCCAUUGAUGAUCCCCGGGCCUUAAACAAGACAAUAUACCCACUAGUAGAAAAUGAGCCAUUUGUCCCGGUUUCAGAGGGACUUUAG
This 687-nucleotide ribosomal RNA is filed under the name Triticum aestivum (bread wheat). Its description in RNAcentral is "partial small subunit ribosomal RNA". Lineage: Eukaryota; Viridiplantae; Streptophyta; Magnoliopsida; Poales; Poaceae. The record is from RNAcentral.